AUACUUUGGUCGGGCUUUUGGGUCUGUACUGGCGUAAUGGAUUCCUACCUUCUGAAUAACCGGCAUGCCAUUAAUUUGGUGCGCCGGGGAAGCAGGACUGUUACCUUGAAAAAAUUAGAGUGCUUAAAACAGGCUAUCGCCUGAAUACAUUAGCAUGGAAUAAUGAAAUAGGACGGCAUGGUUCCAUUUUGUUGGUUUCUAGGAUCACCGUA
Molecule: ribosomal RNA, 212 nt
Filed under: Campeiostachys nutans
Lineage: Eukaryota; Viridiplantae; Streptophyta; Magnoliopsida; Poales; Poaceae
Description: Elymus nutans partial small subunit ribosomal RNA
Rfam family: Eukaryotic small subunit ribosomal RNA (bases 87-212)
Source: RNAcentral